This 1781-nucleotide long non-coding RNA is filed under the name Arabidopsis thaliana (thale cress). RNAcentral describes it as "long non-coding RNA (ATHA_LNC000051)". The record is from RNAcentral. Lineage: Eukaryota; Viridiplantae; Streptophyta; Magnoliopsida; Brassicales; Brassicaceae.
CGAAUUCCCAUUGACACUUCCAAUUCCCAAUUCUCAUUGACACAUCGUAAAUCCUAAACAUUUUUCAACAUGACUCGAAAGUUAUUCGAUUUUUGAUAAUGUAGCCGAAGUCUGCAUGAAAGUAAUUCAAUUGCACAUUCUGACUUAUAGCCGUAACCUAAUAGAUUUCGAAAGUUGGUGUUUUUAAAGGAUAUUAAUGUUAUUUUAGUGUUAUUUUGAAGUCGCUUUAAUAACUUUUUCAGUUGUUUUUUAUUUUUAAAGUGUUUUUGAUAAUUUCGACUUAUUAAUUUUCUCUUUCGAUUAUUUUAGUGUUAUUUUGAAGUCGCUUUAAUAACUUUUUCAGUUGUUUUUUAUUUUUAAAGUGUUUUUGAUAAUUUCGACUUAGAUUAAUUUUGUCUUUCGACACGGAUUAAUCUUGUCUUUGUUAGAGUUUCAACUAUGCUUUAUUUGUUUUUGCCAUUUGUUACAUGUUUCGACUAUGUCGCUUUGACUUUGCGAUUUGGCGUCUGUUUUUUUUUUGUGUUUUGUUAAGCUUCGCGUUUUUUCUUUGGCUACGGCCCGCGUUGCGCAUUUUUGUCCCUCGUUUGUCUAAUGUUCUACGCUCACACACUCUACUAAUACGCCCAUCUACACCUACAUAUUCAUCUACGCCUAUACAUACAUCUAUGCCUAUACAUUCAUCUAUGCGCACACCUUACACAUCACUAAACAUUCAUCUACGCCUAUACAUGCAUCUAUACAUUCAUCUACGCCUAUACAUUCAUCUAUACGCACCUUACACAUCACUAUACGCCCAUUUAUACACAUCCAUGUAUCUUAUCAGGAAAGAAAAAAGAUACAAAAUCACUAGAUUGCCACAUGCACAAUCUAGUAAAAUUCAACAAAGGCUAGCAAAGCUUGAUUGCAACACGCUGGAUAGAGUCCCAAAGGCUUUGUUUUCCCUUCUUCAUCAACCCUUGCAAAAUUAAUUAACGAAAAUCAAUAUUCCAUUACAAUCGUUUUUUUUUCGUUUAUCAUUUUUGGUAUAUGCAUAUAUUAUUUACAAAAAAAUCAAAAGCAUUUUAUAGGCAACCUAUUCUAUCUUUGUUUUUUCAUAAAAUAAAAACCUUUUUCUAUGUUUUCAUUUAGACAGAACCGAUACAUAACUAAAAAUGUUUUAUGAUAGAAGCAAAUAUGGCUAAAAAUAUUUUCCUAGUCGUUGAAGUUAAGCCAGCAAUACAUAUACACAAAAAAUGGAUUUAAAACACAGCAAAUGAAAUUCAUUUUAGACAGAACAUAUAUAUAUCUAACUAAAAUGCUCAGUUUAUGAAAGAAACAAAUAUAGCUAAAAAUCAGUUUAUUGUCCUAAUCAUUGAAGUUAAGCCAGCAAUACAUAUACAUACACAAUGGAUUUACAACACAGACAUUGAAUUUCAUGUUCAACUCCCUAAAAGAUGACUAAAAGAUGAAGAACAGGUGAACAAACUACUAAGAACCAUUUAAUGAAAAAAAAAAAAACCAUUUAACGGUAAACACUAGAGGAUUUAGACCAGAGUAUUUUACCUUGUAAGGAUGAUGCUUUAUGUUUGUUUGAAUGAGGUCUUGACUCAAGUGGAAGAACCAGAAUUAAGAAAUAAAAACAGAUUGUUUCUCGACAUUUUGUAAAAUAUGAACCAAUGAAGAGGAUUCCGAUUUCUGACCCAAGAUGGGAGUAUUUAUAGAGAGCCAUUUAUCUGAAUUUUUGUAAUAAAAUAUUAUCUUCUAACGGUAAUAAAAUGUUACCGUUUCAACGUUUAAAUUUU